RNAcentral lists this ribosomal RNA (494 nucleotides) under uncultured bacterium. Its description in RNAcentral is "partial 16S ribosomal RNA". It matches the Rfam family "Bacterial small subunit ribosomal RNA", at positions 28 to 507 of the family's 1533-position model. The record is from RNAcentral.
GACGAACGCUGGCGGCGUGCUUAACACAUGCAAGUCGAACGGAAAGGCCUGCUUUCCCUUGUGGAUUGCGGGUACUCGAGUGGCGAACGGGUGAGUAACACGUGAGUGAUCUGCCCCCAACUUGGGUAUAAGCCUGGGAAACUGGGUCUAAUUCCCGAUAGGACUGCAGGGUGGUGCCUGUGGUGGAAAACGAUUUUCUAGUGGUUGGGGAUGAGCUCGCGGCCUAUCAGCUUGUUGGUGGGGUAAUGGCCUACCAAGGCGGCGACGGGUAGCCGGCCUGAGAGGGUGGACGGCCACAUUGGGACGGGGAUACGGCCCAGACUCCUACGGGAGGCAGCAGUGGGGAAUAUUGCACAAUGGGCGGAAGCCUGAUGCAGCGACGCCGCGUGGGGGAUGACGGCCUUCGGGUUGUAAACUCCUUUCGACCGCGAGGAAGCCACCUGGUUGGAAGGGUGGUGACGGUAGUGGUAGAAGAAGCACCGGCUAACUACGUG